RNAcentral lists this transfer RNA (63 nucleotides) under Platevindex mortoni. RNAcentral's name for it is "tRNA-Trp". It matches the Rfam family "tRNA". From Rfam's summary of the family: Transfer RNA (tRNA) molecules are approximately 80 nucleotides in length. Their secondary structure includes four short double-helical elements and three loops (D, anti-codon, and T loops). Further hydrogen bonds mediate the characteristic L-shaped molecular structure. tRNAs have two regions of fundamental functional importance: the anti-codon, which is responsible for specific mRNA codon recognition, and the 3' end, to which the tRNAs corresponding amino acid is attached (by aminoacyl-tRNA synthetases). tRNAs cope with the degeneracy of the genetic code in two manners: having more than one tRNA (with a specific anti-codon) for a particular amino acid; and 'wobble' base-pairing, i.e. permitting non-standard base-pairing at the 3rd anti-codon position. The record is from RNAcentral. Lineage: Eukaryota; Metazoa; Mollusca; Gastropoda; Systellommatophora; Onchidiidae.
AGAGCUAUAGGUUAACUGUUAAACCAUUGGCCUUCAAAGCCGAAAAUGGAUCUCCUGGCUCUG